GGGGACUCGGGUAGUGGCGCACGGGUGCGUAACGCGUGGGAACCUGCCUUUAGGUUCGGAAUAACUCAGAGAAAUUUGAGCUAAUACCGGAUAAUGUCUUCGGACCAAAGAUUUAUCGCCUUUAGAUGGGCCCGCGUUAGAUUAGAUAGUUGGUGGGGUAACGGCCUACCAAGUCGACGAUCUAUAGCUGGUCUGAGAGGAUGAUCAGCCACACUGGGACUGAGACACGGCCCAGACUCCUACGGGAGGCAGCAGUGGGGAAUAUUGGACAAUGGGCGAAAGCCUGAUCCAGCAAUGCCGCGUGAGUGAUGAAGGCCUUAGGGUUGUAAAGCUCUUUUACUAGGGAUGAUAAUGACAGUACCUAGAGAAUAAGCUCCGGCUAACUCCGUGCCAGCAGCCGCGGUAAUACAGAGGGAGCUAGCGUUGUUCGGAAUUACUGGGCGUAAAGCGCGCGUAGGCGGCAUAUCAAGUCAGGGGUGAAAUCCCGGGGCUCAACCCCGGAACUGCCCUUGAAACUGGUACGCUAGAAUACUGGAGAGGUGAGUGGAAUUCCGAGUGUAGAGGUGAAAUUCGUAGAUAUUCGGAAGAACACCAGUGGCGAAGGCGACUCACUGGACAGUUAUUGACGCUGAGGUGCGAAAGCGUGGGG
This 649-nucleotide ribosomal RNA is filed under the name uncultured bacterium. RNAcentral describes it as "bacterial SSU rRNA". It matches the Rfam family "Bacterial small subunit ribosomal RNA", at positions 82 to 766 of the family's 1533-position model. The record is from RNAcentral.